UGAGGAACAUGACCUUCGGCGGGGGAUAGCCGGCCCAACGGCCGGGUAAUACCGCGUACGACCACAUGGGGACAUCCCUGAGUGGUGAAAGCAGCAAUGCGCCGAUGGAGUGCCUCGCGGCCUAUCAGCUAGUUGGUGAGGUAACGGCUCACCAAGGCAACGACGGGUAGCUGGUCUGAGAGGAUGGCCAGCCACAUUGGGACUGAGACACGGCCCAGACCUCUACGGGGAGG
This 233-nucleotide ribosomal RNA is filed under the name uncultured bacterium. Its description in RNAcentral is "partial 16S ribosomal RNA". It matches the Rfam family "Bacterial small subunit ribosomal RNA", at positions 118 to 348 of the family's 1533-position model. The record is from RNAcentral.